Molecule: ribosomal RNA, 253 nt
Filed under: uncultured bacterium
Lineage: Bacteria
Description: partial 16S ribosomal RNA
Rfam family: Bacterial small subunit ribosomal RNA
Source: RNAcentral
AACGUAGGAGACAAACGUUAUCCGGAGUUACUGGGCGUAAAGGGCGUGUAGGUGGUAAUGUAAGUCUGUUCUGACAGCUCCUGGCUCAACCGGGAGAGGCGAACGGAAACUGUAUGACUUGAGGACUUCAGAGGGACACGGAAUUCCGGGUGGAGUGGUGAAAUGCGUAGAGAUCCGGAGGAACACCAAAGGCGAAGGCAGUGUCCUGGGAAGUACCUGACGCUCAGGUGCGAAAGCCAGGGGAGCGAACGGG